RNAcentral lists this ribosomal RNA (442 nucleotides) under uncultured archaeon. Its description in RNAcentral is "bacterial SSU rRNA". It matches the Rfam family "Archaeal small subunit ribosomal RNA", at positions 11 to 458 of the family's 1478-position model. The record is from RNAcentral.
CUCUCGCCGGACCUGACUGCUAUCGGAUUGAUACUAAGCCAUGUGAGUCAUUGUAGCAAUACAAGGCAGACGGCUCCCUAACACGUAGCCAAUCUACCCUAUGGACGGGGAUAACCUCGGGAAACUGAGGAUAAACCCCGAUAGAUCAUUAUGCCUGGAAUGGUUAAUGGUUCAAAUGAUUCGUCGCCGUAGGAUGGGACUGCGGCCUAUCAGCUUGUUGGUGAGGUAAUGGCCCACCAAGGCUAUUACAGGUACGGGCUCUGAGAGGAGAAGCCCGGAGAUGGGUACUGAGACACGGACCCAGGCCCUAUGGGGCGCAGCAGGCGAGAAACCUUUGCAAUGUGCGCAAGCACGACAAGGUUAAUCCGAGUGUUUCCUGCUAAAGGAAUCUUUUGUUAGUCCUAAAAACACUAGCGAAUAAGGGGUGGGCAAGUUCUGGUGU